AUCCAGUCGACGAGUCCCAAAUAGGACAAAAUGCUCAUCCAGGAU
This 45-nucleotide non-coding RNA is filed under the name Schistosoma haematobium. Lineage: Eukaryota; Metazoa; Platyhelminthes; Trematoda; Strigeidida; Schistosomatidae. The record is from RNAcentral.